Molecule: ribosomal RNA, 866 nt
Filed under: uncultured Methanomethylovorans sp.
Lineage: Archaea; Methanobacteriati; Methanobacteriota; Methanomicrobia; Methanosarcinales; Methanosarcinaceae
Description: bacterial SSU rRNA
Rfam family: Archaeal small subunit ribosomal RNA
Source: RNAcentral
UCCUGGUUGAUCCUGCCAGAGGCCACUGCUAUCGGUGUUCGACUAAGCCAUGCGAGUCAAAGGUUCUUCGUGAACAUGGCGUACUGCUCAGUAACACGUGGAUAACCUGCCCUUAGGUUCGGCAUAACCCCGGGAAACUGGGGAUAAUUCCGGAUAGAUCAUAGAUGCUGGAAUGCGCUGUGGUCCAAAGCUAUUGCGCCUAAGGAUGGGUCUGCGGUCUAUCAGGUCGUAGUGGGUGUAAUGUACCUACUAGCCUACAACGGAUACGGGUUGUGGGAGCAAGAGCCCGGAGAUGGAUUCUGAGACAUGAAUCCAGGCCCAACGGGGCGCAGCAGGCGCGAAAACUAAACAAUGCGGGGAACCGCGAUAAGGGGACACCGAGUGCCAGCAUCCUAUGUUGGCCUGUCCAUAUGUCUAUCGCAUAUGUUAGCAAGGGCCGGGAAGACCGGUCCAGCCGCCGCGGUAACACCGGCGUCCCGAGUGGUGGCCACUAAUAUUGGGUCUAAAGGGUCCGUAGCCGGCUUGGUCAGUCUUCCGGGAAAUCUGACGGCUUAACCGUUAGGCUUCCGGGGGAUACUACCAGGCUUGGGACCGGGAGAGGUAAGAGGUACUACGGGGGUAGGAGUGAAAUCUUGUAAUCCCCGUGGGACCACCAGUGGCGAAGGCGUCUUACCAGAACGGGUCCGACGGUGAGGGACGAAAGCUGGGGGCACGAACCGGAUUAGAUACCCGGGUAGUCCCAGCCGUAAACUAUGCUCGCUAGGUGUCAGGGACGGUGCGACCGUUUCUGGUGCCGCAGGGAAGCCGUGAAGCGAGCCACCUGGGAAGUACGGUCGCUAGGCUGAAACUUAAAGGAAUUGGCGGGA